GAUGAACGCUAGCUACAGGCUUAACACAUGCAAGUCGAGGGGUAACGAGAGGAAAGCUUGCUUUCCUUGUCGACGACCGGCGCACGGGUGAGUAACGCGUAUCCAACCUGCCCCCAACUAGGGAAUAACCUUGCGAAAGUAAGACUAAUACCCUAUAAUUUCCUCAGAUGUCAUCUGACGAGGAAUAAAGAUUUAUCGGUUGUGGAUGGGGAUGCGUCUGAUUAGAUUGUUGGCGGGGUAACGGCCCACCAAGGCAACGAUCAGUCGGGGUUCUGAGAGGAAGGUCUCGCACCUUGGAACUAAUUCGCGGUCCAAACUCCUACGAGAGGCAGCAAUGAGGAAUAUUGGUCAAUGGUCAGAAUCCUGAACCAGCCAUGUAACGUUCAGGAUGACGGCCCUAUGAGUUGUAAACUGCUUUUAUACAGGAAUAAAGUUAGCCACGUGUGGUUAUUUGUAAGUACUGUAUGAAUAAGGACCGGCUAAUUCCGUUCCAGCCGCCGCCGUAA
RNAcentral lists this ribosomal RNA (506 nucleotides) under uncultured bacterium. RNAcentral's name for it is "partial 16S ribosomal RNA". It matches the Rfam family "Bacterial small subunit ribosomal RNA", at positions 28 to 523 of the family's 1533-position model. The record is from RNAcentral.